UGUGAGCUCGAUGAGUAGGGCGGGACACGUGGUAUCCUGUCUGAAUAUGGGGGGACCAUCCUCCAAGGCUAAAUACUCCUGACUGACCGAUAGUGAACCAGUACCGUGAGGGAAAGGCGAAAAGAACCCCGGCGAGGGGAGUGAAAAAGAACCUGAAACCGUGUACGUACAAGCAGUGGGAGCACAGAGCAAUCUGUGUGACUGCGUACCUUUUGUAUAAUGGGUCAGCGACUUAUAUUCUGUAGCAAGGUUAACCGAAUAGGGGAGCCGAAGGGAAACCGAGUCUUAACUGGGCGUUAAGUUGCAGGGUAUAGACCCGAAACCCGGUGAUCUAGCCAUGGGCAGGUUGAAGGUUGGGUAACACUAACUGGAGGACCGAACCGACUAAUGUUGAAAAAUUAGCGGAUGACUUGUGGCUGGGGGUGAAAGGCCAAUCAAACCGGGAGAUAGCUGGUUCUCCCCGAAAGCUAUUUAGGUAGCGCCUCGUGAAUUCAUCUCCGGGGGUAGAGCACUGUUUCGGCAAGGGGGUCAUCCCGACUUACCAACCCGAUGCAAACUGCGAAUACCGGAGAAUGUUAUCACGGGAGACACACGGCGGGUGCUAACGUCCGUCGUGAAGAGGGAAACAACCCAGACCGCCAGCUAAGGUCCCAAAGUCAUGGUUAAGUGGGAAACGAUGUGGGAAGGCCCAGACAGCCAGGAUGUUGGCUUAGAAGCAGCCAUCAUUUAAAGAAAGCGUAAUAGCUCACUGGUCGAGUCGGCCUGCGCGGAAGAUGUAACGGGGCUAAACCAUGCACCGAAGCUGCGGCAGCGACGCUUAUGCGUUGUUGGGUAGGGGAGCGUUCUGUAAGCCUGUGAAGGUGUACUGUGAGGUAUGCUGGAGGUAUCAGAAGUGCGAAUGCUGACAUAAGUAACGAUAAAGCGGGUGAAAAGCCCGCUCGCCGGAAGACCAAGGGUUCCUGUCCAACGUUAAUCGGGGCAGGGUGAGUCGACCCCUAAGGCGAGGCCGAAAGGCGUAGUCGAUGGGAAACAGGUUAAUAUUCCUGUACUUGGUGUUACUGCGAAGGGGGGACGGAGAAGGCUAUGUUGGCCGGGCGACGGUUGUCCCGGUUUAAGCGUGUAGGCUGGUUUUCCAGGCAAAUCCGGAAAAUCAAGGCUGAGGCGUGAUGACGAGGCACUACGGUGCUGAAGCAACAAAUGCCCUGCUUCCAGGAAAAGCCUCUAAGCAUCAGGUAACAUCAAAUCGUACCCCAAACCGACACAGGUGGUCAGGUAGAGAAUACCAAGGCGCUUGAGAGAACUCGGGUGAAGGAACUAGGCAAAAUGGUGCCGUAACUUCGGGAGAAGGCACGCUGAUAUGUAGGUGAAGUCCCUCGCGGAUGGAGCUGAAAUCAGUCGAAGAUACCAGCUGGCUGCAACUGUUUAUUAAAAACACAGCACUGUGCAAACACGAAAGUGGACGUAUACGGUGUGACGCCUGCCCGGUGCCGGAAGGUUAAUUGAUGGGGUCAGCGCAAGCGAAGCUCUUGAUCGAAGCCCCGGUAAACGGCGGCCGUAACUAUAACGGUCCUAAGGUAGCGAAAUUCCUUGUCGGGUAAGUUCCGACCUGCACGAAUGGCGUAAUGAUGGCCAGGCUGUCUCCACCCGAGACUCAGUGAAAUUGAACUCGCUGUGAAGAUGCAGUGUACCCGCGGCAAGACGGAAAGACCCCGUGAACCUUUACUAUAGCUUGACACUGAACAUUGAGCCUUGAUGUGUAGGAUAGGUGGGAGGCUUUGAAGUGUGGACGCCAGUCUGCAUGGAGCCGACCUUGAAAUACCACCCUUUAAUGUUUGAUGUUCUAACGUUGACCCGUAAUCCGGGUUGCGGACAGUGUCUGGUGGGUAGUUUGACUGGGGCGGUCUCCUCCUAAAGAGUAACGGAGGAGCACGAAGGUUGGCUAAUCCUGGUCGGACAUCAGGAGGUUAGUGCAAUGGCAUAAGCCAGCUUGACUGCGAGCGUGACGGCGCGAGCAGGUGCGAAAGCAGGUCAUAGUGAUCCGGUGGUUCUGAAUGGAAGGGCCAUCGCUCAACGGAUAAAAGGUACUCCGGGGAUAACAGGCUGAUACCGCCCAAGAGUUCAUAUCGACGGCGGUGUUUGGCACCUCGAUGUCGGCUCAUCACAUCCUGGGGCUGAAGUAGGUCCCAAGGGUAUGGCUGUUCGCCAUUUAAAGUGGUACGCGAGCUGGGUUUAGAACGUCGUGAGACAGUUCGGUCCCUAUCUGCCGUGGGCGCUGGAGAACUGAGGGGGGCUGCUCCUAGUACGAGAGGACCGGAGUGGACGCAUCACUGGUGUUCGGGUUGUCAUGCCAAUGGCACUGCCCGGUAGCUAAAUGCGGAAGAGAUAAGUGCUGAAAGCAUCUAAGCACGAAACUUGCCCCGAGAUGAGUUCUCCCUGACUCCUUGA
Molecule: ribosomal RNA, 2445 nt
Filed under: Escherichia coli
Lineage: Bacteria; Pseudomonadati; Pseudomonadota; Gammaproteobacteria; Enterobacterales; Enterobacteriaceae
Description: bacterial LSU rRNA
Rfam family: Bacterial large subunit ribosomal RNA
Source: RNAcentral